This is a non-coding RNA of Nicotiana tabacum (common tobacco), 813 nucleotides long. Lineage: Eukaryota; Viridiplantae; Streptophyta; Magnoliopsida; Solanales; Solanaceae. The record is from RefSeq and is a predicted model, not a curated record.
UCGUGAAGAAUUUUUCAGUUGAACUAAUUGGCAAAUCAAAUAUGAAUAUACUUUAUAACAAUUCUGAAAAUUGUUUGUUCUGAUGACAGGCUUUUCCAGAGGAACUGUUUUCUGUGCUCCGUACAGUGCAUCUCCUGAGAGGACUUAGUGUUGGUCUGGGAAUUAAUUUUUCAUGUGCCGAGCAGUGGAGACCCAUUGCUGAAGAAGUUCUGUAUGUUGCUGGAAGACUUGCAGCUAAAGAUCUGAAGCAAGUGCAUAGACGUGGAGCUUCUAGAAGAAGAUUUUGGAGAUAAGUAUUUAAUGUAUGGAAAUGAUCAGUAUGAGCCUACCUGGAAUAUGGUAUUUAUUGUAAUUUAUCCUAGUCAAGUUGAUGUCCUUAGCUGCAUCCUUGUCAUGAAAAUUCAAUUACAGAUUUUGCCUUUUGAGUUGUAUUGGAUUAGAAGUAUUGUCAAAUAACAUUGACUACUAACAGUAGUCUUUCAGGAAUAUUUGUUAGUUUCUAUCUUGAUUUUGUUUUGGUUCCUCAAAGUCGGAUGGAAAAUGUGACUCUGCGCUUGAAGGGAAAAAAAUUGGCCAGCGUUUUGUGUUUCUCCAUAUUUUCUACUACUGUGGACAAACAACUGUUAGCAUUUCUUGCUCAUGCAGCUAUGAGUCUGUAACUAGGAAUGUACUCGGGAUUUCUUCGUUGCAUCUUUAGAUGCUGGUGUUUGAGUCUUGAAGUGGUAUCAACUUGGUUUAGGCCUUGAAAAAUGGUUUUGCUUGUACUUAACUGAAAUUGGAAGUUAAGGUUAAGUUCAAAUGUUUGCAGAUGUU